CCUACGGGUGGCAGCAGUGAGGAAUAUUGGUCAAUGGGCGCGAGCCUGAACCAGCCAAGUAGCGUGAAGGAUGACUGCCCUACGGGUUGUAAACUUCUUUUAUAAAGGAAUAAAGUGAGGCACGUGUGCCUUUUUGUAUGUACUUUAUGAACACGGAUCGGCUAACUCCGGGCCAGCAGCCGCGGUAAUACGGAGGAUCCGAGCGUUAUCCGGAUUUAUUGGGUUUAAGGGGAGCGUAGGUGGGUUGUUAAGUCAGUUGUGAAAGUUUGCGGCUCAACCGUGAAAGUGCAAUUGAUACUGGCAGCCUUGAGUACAGUUGAGGUGGGCGGAAUGCGUGGUGUAGCGGUGAAAUGCUUAGAUAUCACGAAGAACUCCGAUUGCGAAGGCAGCUUACUAAACUGCGACUGACAUUGAUGCUCGAAAGUGUGGGUAUCAAACAGGAUUAGAUACCCCGGUAGUC
RNAcentral lists this ribosomal RNA (460 nucleotides) under uncultured bacterium. RNAcentral describes it as "partial 16S ribosomal RNA". It matches the Rfam family "Bacterial small subunit ribosomal RNA", at positions 338 to 795 of the family's 1533-position model. The record is from RNAcentral.